This 402-nucleotide ribosomal RNA is filed under the name uncultured Pseudomonas sp. RNAcentral's name for it is "bacterial SSU rRNA". It matches the Rfam family "Bacterial small subunit ribosomal RNA", at positions 983 to 1382 of the family's 1533-position model. Lineage: Bacteria; Pseudomonadati; Pseudomonadota; Gammaproteobacteria; Pseudomonadales; Pseudomonadaceae. The record is from RNAcentral.
GACAUGCAGAGAACUUUCCGAGAGAUGGAGUUGGUGCCUUCGGGAACUCUGACACAGGUGCUGCAUGGCUGUCGUCAGCUCGUGUCGUGAGAUGCUGGGUUAAGUCCCGUAACGAGCGCAACCCUUGUCCUUAGUUACCAGCACGUUAUGGUGGGCACUCUAAGGAGACUGCCGGUGACAAACCGGAGGAAGGUGGGGAUGACGUCAAGUCAUCAUGGCCCUUACGGCCUGGGCUACACACGUGCUACAAUGGUCGGUACAAAGGGUUGCCAAGCCGCGAGGUGGAGCUAAUCCCAUAAAACCGAUCGUAGUCCGGAUCGCAGUCUGCAACUCGACUGCGUGAAGUCGGAAUCGCUAGUAAUCGUGAAUCAGAAUGUCACGGUGAAUACGUUCCCGGGCCUU